CAAUAGCGUAUAUUUAAGUUGCUGCAGUUAAAAAGCUCGUAGUUGGAUUUCGGGUGGGAAUGGCCGGUCCGCCGUUUCGGUGUGCACUUGCUACGCCCACCUUGCUGCCGGGGACGUGCUCUUGAGUUCACGCUCGGGACACGGAGUCGGCGAGGUUACUUUGAGUAAAUUAGAGUGUCCAAAGCAGGCCUACGCUCUGAAUACAUUAGCAUGGAAUAACACGAUAGGACUCUGGCCUAUCUUGUUGGUCUGUAGGACCGGAGUAAUGAUUAAGAGGGACAGUCGGGGGCAUUCGUAUUUCAUUGUCAGAGGUGAAAUUCUUGGAUUUAUGAAAGACGAACUACUGCGAAAGCAUUUGCCAAGGAUGUUUUCAUUAA
Molecule: ribosomal RNA, 377 nt
Filed under: uncultured eukaryote
Lineage: Eukaryota
Description: partial 18S ribosomal RNA
Rfam family: Eukaryotic small subunit ribosomal RNA
Source: RNAcentral